AUUGAACGCUGGCGGCAGGCCUAACACAUGCAAGUCGAACGGUAGCACAGAGAGCUUGCUCUCGGGUGACGAGUGGCGGACGGGUGAGUAACGUCUGGGAAACUGCCCGAUGGAGGGGGAUAACUACUGGAAACGGUAGCUAAUACCGCAUAACGUCGCAAGACCAAAGUGGGGGACCUUCGGGCCUCACACCAUCGGAUGUGCCCAGAUGGGAUUAGCUAGUAGGUGGGGUAAUGGCUCACCGAGGCGACGAUCCCUAGCUGGUCUGAGAGGAUGACCAGCCAAACUGGAACUGAGACACGGUCCAGACUCCUACGGGAGGCAGCAGUGGGGAAUAUUGCACAAUGGGCGCAAGCCUGAUGCAGCCAUGCCGCGUGUAUGAAGAAGGCCUUCGGGUUGUAAAGUACUUUCAGCGGGGAGGAAGGCGGUGAAGUUAAUAACUUCACCGAUUGACGUUACCCGCAGAAGAAGCACCGGCUAGCUCCGUGCCAGCAGCCGCCGUAA
RNAcentral lists this ribosomal RNA (504 nucleotides) under uncultured bacterium. RNAcentral's name for it is "partial 16S ribosomal RNA". It matches the Rfam family "Bacterial small subunit ribosomal RNA", at positions 29 to 523 of the family's 1533-position model. The record is from RNAcentral.